This 72-nucleotide transfer RNA is filed under the name Capsicum annuum. It matches the Rfam family "tRNA". Rfam says of the family: Transfer RNA (tRNA) molecules are approximately 80 nucleotides in length. Their secondary structure includes four short double-helical elements and three loops (D, anti-codon, and T loops). Further hydrogen bonds mediate the characteristic L-shaped molecular structure. tRNAs have two regions of fundamental functional importance: the anti-codon, which is responsible for specific mRNA codon recognition, and the 3' end, to which the tRNAs corresponding amino acid is attached (by aminoacyl-tRNA synthetases). tRNAs cope with the degeneracy of the genetic code in two manners: having more than one tRNA (with a specific anti-codon) for a particular amino acid; and 'wobble' base-pairing, i.e. permitting non-standard base-pairing at the 3rd anti-codon position. The record is from Rfam by way of RNAcentral. Lineage: Eukaryota; Viridiplantae; Streptophyta; Magnoliopsida; Solanales; Solanaceae.
GGGUCCGUAGCUCAGUGGUAGAGCAUUUGACUACAGAUCAAGUGGUCUACAGUUCGAAACUGGUAGGGCCUU